GUGGGGAAUAUUGGACAAUGGGCGAAAGCCUGAUCCAGCCAUGCCGCGUGUGUGAAGAAGGUCUUCGGAUUGUAAAGCACUUUAAGUUGGGAGGAAGGGCAGUAAGUUAAUACCUUGCUGUUUUGACGUUACCGACAGAAUAAGCACCGGCUAACUUCGUGCCAGCAGCCGCGGUAAUACGAAGGGUGCAAGCGUUAAUCGGAAUUACUGGGCGUAAAGCGCGCGUAGGUGGUUUUGUAAGUUGGAGGUGAAAUCCCCGGGCUCAACCUGGGAACUGCCACCAAAACUGCAUGACUAGAGUACGGUAGAGGGUAGUGGAAUUUCCUGUGUAGCGGUGAAAUGCGUAGAUAUAGGAAGGAACACCAGUGGCGAAGGCGACUACCUGGACUGAUACUGACACUGAGGUGCGAAAGCGUGGGGAGCAAACAGGAUUAGAAACCCCGGUAGUCC
RNAcentral lists this ribosomal RNA (450 nucleotides) under uncultured bacterium. RNAcentral describes it as "partial 16S ribosomal RNA". It matches the Rfam family "Bacterial small subunit ribosomal RNA", at positions 354 to 796 of the family's 1533-position model. The record is from RNAcentral.